This 69-nucleotide transfer RNA is filed under the name Atractomorpha psittacina. Its description in RNAcentral is "tRNA-Met". Lineage: Eukaryota; Metazoa; Arthropoda; Insecta; Orthoptera; Pyrgomorphidae. RNAcentral also lists the same sequence under 1 other name. The record is from RNAcentral.
AAAAAGAUAAGCUAACAUUCAAGCUAAUGGGUUCAUACCCCAUAUAUAGAGGACGACCUCUUCUUUUUA